UCCCUUCAAACACUGCAUGUGCUUUUUAUUCUCACAUUCUUUGAGUCUUUGUGGCUAUUAAGAUGCAUUACAUUUAAAGUUCAGUGGGGGCAUAGAUGGGGGUUGGGAGAUUCUCAAAGUUUACUUGUAAUUAUGGAAAUAGCACCAUUUCCAUUCGAAAAGCUGUAAGAUGUUAUGAAGGAGCUUAUAAGAACUAUCAGGGAGAACAAUUUGGGCAGAAUUAGUUCACUGUAAGCUUAUUUCCAUAUUAACCAACAUGUUUUAUGAAGUUCCGGAUGAAGUUAUUAAGCUUGAACUCUCCACACCAAAGUUCCUCAUGGAUCAACUUGAUCUGAUUGGAGGAGUUCAGUUUAUUUUUUUGGAGGUAUUUGAUUCUUCUGACAUUAGUAUGGAGAGAAGUCCAAUCUAAUAAAUGUCCUUGCAUUGAUACGUAGAUUCGAACUUUUGAUUUUCUCUUCUGCCUUCCUAUGAUUGAUUCAGUAUUCCCUUACAAAUUCAAGAGAAGAGAAGAAAAAUCUGUAUGCAGUGUUUUUUUAUUACAUUUUGCGUCAAAUAAAAGUAUCGUGCAUAGUCUCAGGAGUCAGUGAAUACAGUGAUGAGCAGAUCCAACCUCUGGCUGAUCUGCUUGCUCAAAUAAAUGCACCUGAGGCAUUUUAUAUUUCUGUUAAACUUGGAGUAGAGGGCAUUGGAGAGAUUUUGAGAAGAUCAAUUGCAUUUGCUCUAUCCAAAUAUCCCAACAGUGAAAGACUAAAUACGAUGCUUCUAGUUUUUCCUUAUCUAUAUACUUUAAAGUUUUAAGGCUAUACAUUUUUCCUUUGAUCUUAUAUGCAUUUCUUCAUAUAUAUGGCUUGUAAUAGAUCUUCUUUGAGCUGUAUGAUUACUGAUUUUUUUUUUCUGUUCCGGUCUAACAUUUGCAGCUAUUGAAAAUUGUAGCAGAGAAAUUUAUGUUUGUCUAGAUAUAGAAGCAAUAUAAUUGAACAGCUUUACGAAGCCAAAAUUUUUUAA
This is a long non-coding RNA of Arachis ipaensis, 1005 nucleotides long. RefSeq lists it as uncharacterized. Lineage: Eukaryota; Viridiplantae; Streptophyta; Magnoliopsida; Fabales; Fabaceae. The record is from RefSeq and is a predicted model, not a curated record.